Molecule: ribosomal RNA, 985 nt
Filed under: Paratylenchus leptos
Lineage: Eukaryota; Metazoa; Nematoda; Chromadorea; Rhabditida; Tylenchulidae
Description: eukaryotic LSU rRNA
Rfam family: Eukaryotic small subunit ribosomal RNA (bases 1-191)
Source: RNAcentral
UUGAUUACGUCCCUGCCCUUUGUACACACCGCCCGUCGCUGCCUAGAACUGAGCCAUUUCGAGAAUAUUCGGGAUCGCUGGUUUGGUCUUCACGGACCACUCUGGUUCGAGAACGAACGUAAUCGCAGUGGCUUGAACCGGGCAAAAGUCGUAACAAGGUAUCUGUAGGUGAACCUGCUGAUGGAUCAUUACCUUGUCUUUCGACAAAACUAUUCUUUCCUUCGAGAGGCGGAGUAACCGCGACUCCGUCUCGGACCAGUUUGUGAGCGCCCCGCCUCUGGGCAAUGAGAACCAGCAACUUUGUCCACUUCGGGUUCUGGUUCUCAAGUCUCGCAGACGAAGAACGGCUGACUGGUUCCUGGGUAACGCCGAGCAGUUGUUGCCGCAAUGUCCGUGGCUGCGUUGAAGCGUUACGUGAUUCCCUCGCUGUGGCCUUCAGGUCGCGGGGGGAGGAGGAUCAAUGAGUACCGGAGUGGUGCCGCCAGUCUUCACAUUUUUCAAUAAAUUUUUUUACAAAACGAAUACGUUAGUCUUGCCGGUGGAUCACUCGGCUCGUAGGUCGAUGAAGAUCGCAGCCAAAUGCGAUAGCUGGUGCGAGCUGCAGAUUUUGUGAGCACUGAAAUAUCGAAUGCACAUUGCACCUUGGAACUUGUUCCUUGGUACGCCUGGUUCAGGGUCACUUUUCCUUCAAAACAAAGCAUUGUUGUUGACUGCUGUGGAGUUACUUGGUGGCUAACCGCUUAAGCAGCAAAGCAAUUUCACAUAUUUGAUCCUUCGAUGCCUCAUUCAGAGAGUGCAUGACUAAACUGGUCAAGAAUCACCGCAUUGCCAGUUUAGUACGUUCGCUUGUUUGAUGAGGAAAGAACACAGAAGACUCUUUAAUGCUUUGACCUGAACUCAGACGUGAAUACCCGCCGAACUUAAGCAUAUCAGUAAGCGGAGGAAAAGAAACUAACAAGGAUUCCCUUAGUAACGGCGAGUGAAA